Molecule: ribosomal RNA, 485 nt
Filed under: uncultured bacterium
Lineage: Bacteria
Description: partial 16S ribosomal RNA
Rfam family: Bacterial small subunit ribosomal RNA
Source: RNAcentral
ACUCAAAUGAAUUGACGGGGAACCGCACAAGCAGAGGAGGAUGUGGUUUAAUAUGACGCUACGCGUAGAACCUUACCCAGGCUUGACAUCCUUGGAACCCACUGGAAACAGAGGGGUGCCGCAAGGAGCCAAGUGACAGGUGCUGCAUGGCCGUCGUCAGCUCGUGUCGUGAGAUGUUGGGUUAAGUCCCGCAACGAGCGCAACCCUUAUCGUAUGUUGUAUUUUUCAUGCGAGACUGCCCGGGCCAACCGGGAGGAAGAUGGGGAUGAAGUCAGGUCUGCAUGGCCCUUACGCCUGGGGCUACACACGUCCUACAAUGGCCAGUACAACGCGCUGCGAUACCGCGAGGUGGAGCAAAUCGCAUCAAAACUGGUCCCAGUUCGGAUUGGAGGCUGCAACUCGCCUCCAUGAAGUCGGAUUUGCUAGUAACCGUGGGUCAGCACACCACGGUGAAUACGUUCCCGGUUCUUGUACACACCGCCCGU